Molecule: ribosomal RNA, 429 nt
Filed under: Bacteroidota bacterium
Lineage: Bacteria; Pseudomonadati; Bacteroidota
Description: Bacteroidetes bacterium partial 16S ribosomal RNA
Rfam family: Bacterial small subunit ribosomal RNA
Source: RNAcentral
UAGGGAAUCUUCGGCAAUGGGGGGAACCCUGACCGAGCAACGCCGCGUGAGUGAAGAAGGUUUUCGGAUCGUAAAGCUCUGUUGUUAAGGAAGAACGAGUGUGAGAAUGGAAAGUUCAUACUGUGACGGUACUUAACCAGAAAGGGACGGCUAACUACGUGCCAGCAGCCGCGGUAAUACGUAGGUCCCGAGCGUUGUCCGGAUUUAUUGGGCGUAAAGCGAGCGCAGGCGGUUAGAUAAGUCUGAAGUUAAAGGCAGUGGCUCAACCAUUGUAGGCUUUGGAAACUGUUUAACUUGAGUGCAGAAGGGGAGAGUGGAAGUCCAUGUGUAGCGGUGAAAUGCGUAGAUAUAUGGAGGAACACCGGUGGCGAAAGCGGCUCUCUGGUCUGUAACUGACGCUGAGGCUCGAAAGCGUGGGGAGCGAACAGG